GACGAACGCUGGCGGCGUGCCUAACACAUGCAAGUCGAGCGAGGUUGCGGAUGGGUGCUUGCACCCUGAAGCUACCUAGCGGCGGACGGGUGAGUAACGCGUGAGUAACCUGCCUUAUACAGGGGGAUAACAACGAGAAAUCGUUGCUAAUACCGCAUAAGACCACGGUAUCGCAUGGUACAGGGGUAAAAGGAGCAAUCCGGUAUAAGAUGGACUCGCGUCCCAUUAGCUAGUUGGUGAGAUAACAGCCCACCAAGGCAACGAUGGGUAGCCGACCUGAGAGGGUGAUCGGCCACACUGGGACUGAGACACGGCCCAGACUCCUACGGGAGGCAGCAGUGGGGAAUAUUGGGCAAUGGGCGAAAGCCUGACCCAGCAACGCCGCGUGAAGGAAGAAGGUCUUCGGAUUGUAAACUUCUGUCGUCAGGGACGAAAAGGACGGUAACCUGGCAAGAAAGCCCCGGCUAACUACGUG
This 475-nucleotide ribosomal RNA is filed under the name uncultured bacterium. RNAcentral's name for it is "bacterial SSU rRNA". It matches the Rfam family "Bacterial small subunit ribosomal RNA", at positions 28 to 507 of the family's 1533-position model. The record is from RNAcentral.